CCUACGGGAGGCAGCAGUGAGGAAUAUUGGUCAAUGGACGAGAGUCUGAACCAGCCAAGUAGCGUGAAGGAUGACUGCCCUAUGGGUUGUAAACUUCUUUUAUAUGGGAAUAAAACGUUCCACGUGUGGGAUUUUGUAUGUACCAUAUGAAUAAGGAUCGGCUAACUCCGUGCCAGCAGCCGCGGUAAUACGGAGGGUCCGAGCGUUAUCCGGAUUUAUUGGGUUUAAAGGGAGCGUAGGUGGAUUGUUAAGUCAGUUGUGAAAGUUUGCGGCUCAACCGUAAAAUUGCAGUUGAAACUGGCAGUCUUGAGUACAGUAGAGGUGGGCGGAAUUCGUGGUGUAGCGGUGAAAUGCUUAGAUAUCACGAAGAACCCCGAUUGCGAAGGCAGUUCACUGGACUGCAACUGACACUGAGGCUCGAAAGUGUGGGUAUCAAACAGGAUUAGAUACCCUUGUAGUC
This 460-nucleotide ribosomal RNA is filed under the name uncultured bacterium. Its description in RNAcentral is "partial 16S ribosomal RNA". It matches the Rfam family "Bacterial small subunit ribosomal RNA", at positions 338 to 795 of the family's 1533-position model. The record is from RNAcentral.